This 508-nucleotide long non-coding RNA is filed under the name Physcomitrium patens. RNAcentral describes it as "long non-coding RNA (PPAT_LNC003772)". Lineage: Eukaryota; Viridiplantae; Streptophyta; Bryopsida; Funariales; Funariaceae. The record is from RNAcentral.
CCUAAACUCUAAUCCAAAUCCUAAAUCCUAAAUCAAACCUUAAAUCAAACCCUAACCAAACCCUAGUCCAAACUCUAAUCCAAACCCUAAAUCAAAUUCUAACCAAAUCCUAAAUCCUAAUCCAAACCCUAAUCCAAUCCUAAACUCUAAUCCAAAUCCUAAACCAAACCUUAAAUCAAACCCUAACCAAACCCUAAUUCAACCCUAAAUCCUAAACCAAACCUUAAAUCAAAUCCUAAUCAACCUCUAAUCCAAACCCUAAAUCAAACCCUAACCAAACCCUAAAUCCUAAUCCAAACCCUAAUCCAAACCCUAAUCCAACCCUAAACUCUAAUCCAAAUCCUAAACCCUAAAUCAAACCUUAAAUCAAAUCCUAACCAAACCCUAGUCUAAACUCUAAUCCAAACCCUAAAUCUUAAUCCAAAUCCUAAACCCUAAACCAAACCUUAAAUCAAACCCUAACCAAAUCCUAAUCCAAACCCUAAUCCAAAUCCUAAAUCAAACCCUA